UAGGGAAUAUUAGAAAUGGACGAAAGUCUGAUCUAGCAACACCGCGUGUGCGAAGAAGGCCUCCGGGUUGUAAAGCACUUUUUGGAAGGAUUAGGAAGGAAUGUACUUCCAGAAUAAGUCUAGGCUAACUACGUGCCAGCAGCCGCGGUAACACGUAGGAGGCAAACGUUAUCCGGAUUUACUGGGCGUAAAGCGCGUGUAGGUGGUUCUGUAAGUAGGGCGUGAAAGCUCCUGGCUCAACUGGGAGAGGCCGUUCUCAACUACAGAACUAGAGGAUGGUAGAGGGAGGUGGAAUUCCAGGUGUAGCGGUGGAGUGCGCAGAUAUCUGGAGGAACACCAGUGGCGAAGGCGGCCUCCUGGACCAUUCCUGACACUCAGACGCGAAAGCUAGGGUAGCAAACG
This 402-nucleotide ribosomal RNA is filed under the name uncultured prokaryote. RNAcentral describes it as "bacterial SSU rRNA". It matches the Rfam family "Bacterial small subunit ribosomal RNA", at positions 355 to 774 of the family's 1533-position model. The record is from RNAcentral.